CGCAUCUGUGCAUGCAGCAUAUCAAUAAGCGGAGGAAAAGAAACUAACAAGGAUUCCCCUCAGUAACGGCGAGUGAAGCGGGAAGAGCUCAAAUUUGAAAUCUUAAAGGGUUCCCUUUCACGAAUUGUAGUUUAAAGAAGUGUUUUCUGUUACGAUCGUAAUAUAAGUUCUUUGGAAUAGGACAUCACAGAGGGUGAGAAUCCCGUCUAUGAUUGCGAUUUGUAGCUUUGUGAUACACUUUCAAAGAGUCGGGUUGUUUGGGAAUGCAGCCCAAAACGGGAGGUAAAUUUCUUCUAGGGCUAAAUAUUGGCGAGAGACCGAUAGCGAACAAGUACCGUGAGGGAAAGAUGAAAAGAACUUUGAAAAGAGAGUUAAAUAGUACGUGAAAUUGUCAAAAGGGAAGCGUUUAACACCAGUGUUGUUUUCUGAAAAUCAACCUCUGUUAGCUUUAUGCAUGUUUGUUUAGACCUAAUCAGCUAUCUUGCAUGUUCUAUUGUUUGCAGUGGUGCACUUUUCAGUUUACAGGUCAACAUCAGUUUUUUUUACCGUAAAAAAGUUAAAGAAAGGUAGCUCAUGGCUCCGGUCGUGAGUGUUAUAGUCUUUUUCCUAUGCGGUAGGAGAGACUGAGGUCUGCAGUGUAGGCUAUUUGGCUAGAUACUCAGGUGCUAUGUGAUACCAUUUCAUAAACAACUUGUUGAUUAUGUUUUGUCUAUUGCAUACUCGCUUGUACUAUCAUACCUACGCUUAGGAUGUUGACGAUCAGCUGAGCGCG
RNAcentral lists this ribosomal RNA (772 nucleotides) under uncultured Neocallimastigales. RNAcentral describes it as "partial large subunit ribosomal RNA". It matches the Rfam family "Eukaryotic large subunit ribosomal RNA", at positions 26 to 637 of the family's 3401-position model. The record is from RNAcentral. Lineage: Eukaryota; Fungi; Neocallimastigomycota; Neocallimastigomycetes; Neocallimastigales.